This 98-nucleotide non-coding RNA is filed under the name Alligator mississippiensis (American alligator). RNAcentral's name for it is "microRNA ami-mir-2188 precursor". The stretch from base 10 to 87 matches the Rfam family "mir-2188 microRNA precursor family". Lineage: Eukaryota; Metazoa; Chordata; Crocodylia; Alligatoridae. RNAcentral also lists the same sequence under 1 other name. The record is from miRBase by way of RNAcentral.
GAAUAUCAGACCCGUGGGAAAGGUCCAACCUCACAUGUCCUGUAUGUCACGAGGAGGGAUAUAUGUGGUCAGACCUAUCCCACAGGCCCUGUAUUCUU